Molecule: unclassified non-coding RNA, 204 nt
Filed under: Hevea brasiliensis (rubber tree)
Lineage: Eukaryota; Viridiplantae; Streptophyta; Magnoliopsida; Malpighiales; Euphorbiaceae
Source: RNAcentral
GCUUGAUAUACACAUAGCCUUUGGAGCACAUAUUAGGUGGUCGCCCUUUGGAUAUAGCUCUGUACAUGUGUAUGAUCACUAUUUUUUUUGCUCUUGGGUUAUUUUUAUGUCAUUAUAAAGCCCAAGGUACCAACAUUACUCACAAGCUGCCAGAGUUUAUUAUUGUGCUUAAGAUGCCAGUGUUAUAUACAUAAAGCAUUUUGC